RNAcentral lists this ribosomal RNA (36 nucleotides) under Austropuccinia psidii. Its description in RNAcentral is "partial 18S ribosomal RNA". The record is from RNAcentral. Lineage: Eukaryota; Fungi; Basidiomycota; Pucciniomycetes; Pucciniales; Sphaerophragmiaceae.
GGAAGUAAAAGUCGUAACAAGGUUUCCGUAGGUGAA